UGAACAGAUCUUGCAUUGGGAAAGACACAUUGGGCAAAUAGUAGUUCUUGGUGGUGCUUUCUCAGUAAAUGGAAAUGUGAACCCAAUAGCAGAGGCCACUUUCAUUAGAUAAUAUAUUGUUCUGCUUCUAUAUCUAUCUCAAAAUUAUAUCGUUGCCUGCCUACUUGCCCUGCGAGUUGGGGCUCCUAGUUGGGGCAUCACAAGGGGACUCACAGUAUUAUACAACAAACAGAAGAGAUUUGCAGAAGUCACUGAGUGGUCGGACAAACCUACAGUGAAGUGCUCUAGCCAUUUUCAAACUACUCAUAGAUCGGCUUAUGGACUUGUAGAAAGAUUCAGACCUAGAGCCAUUUUAUGAU
This is a long non-coding RNA of Pistacia vera, 359 nucleotides long. RefSeq lists it as uncharacterized. NCBI's taxonomy places the organism in Eukaryota, Viridiplantae, Streptophyta, Magnoliopsida, Sapindales, Anacardiaceae. The transcript has 3 exons. The record is from RefSeq and is a predicted model, not a curated record.